CCAUGCGAGUCGUUGUAGCAACAAGGCGGGAAUGCUCAGUAACACGUAGUUACUUAAACCUAUGGAUGGGCAUAACCUUCGGGANCUGAGAAUAUACCCAAUGGACACAGUGCCUGGGAAUGGCUGUGGUUGAAAUGAUUUAUCGCCGUAGGAUAGGAACUGCGGCCUAUCAGCUUGUUGGUGAGGUAAUGGCCCACCAAGGCUAUAACAGGUACGGGCUCUGAGAGGAGGGGCCCGGAGAUGGGUACUGAGACACGGACCCAGGCCCUAAC
RNAcentral lists this ribosomal RNA (272 nucleotides) under uncultured archaeon. RNAcentral describes it as "partial 16S ribosomal RNA". It matches the Rfam family "Archaeal small subunit ribosomal RNA", at positions 49 to 327 of the family's 1478-position model. The record is from RNAcentral.